Molecule: ribosomal RNA, 427 nt
Filed under: uncultured bacterium
Lineage: Bacteria
Description: bacterial SSU rRNA
Rfam family: Bacterial small subunit ribosomal RNA
Source: RNAcentral
UCGAGAAUUUUUCUCAAUGGGGGCAACCCUGAAGGAGCGACGCCGCGUGGAGGAUGAAGGUCUUCGGAUUGUAAACUCCUGUCAUUAGGGAACAAGCUGUCGCGAUCAACUGUCGCGGCAUUGAUAGUACCUGAAGAGGAAGAGACGGCUAACUCUGUGCCAGCAGCCGCGGUAAUACAGAGGUCUCGAGCGUUGUUCGGAUUCAUUGGGCGUAAAGGGUGCGUAGGUGGCGGGGUAAGUCAGGUGUGAAAUCCCGGGGCUCAACCCCGGAACUGCAUUUGAUACUGCCUUGCUCGAGUACUGGAGAGGAGACUGGAAUUUACGGUGUAGCAGUGAAAUGCGUAGAUAUCGUAAGGAAGACCAGUGGCGAAGGCGAGUCUCUGGACAGUUACUGACACUGAGGCACGAAGGCCAGGGGAGCAAACGG